This is a long non-coding RNA of Mugil cephalus (flathead mullet), 1243 nucleotides long. RefSeq lists it as uncharacterized. The transcript is spliced from 2 exons. NCBI's taxonomy places the organism in Eukaryota, Metazoa, Chordata, Actinopteri, Mugiliformes, Mugilidae. The record is from RefSeq and is a predicted model, not a curated record.
UGGGUUUUAUAGAAUAGAAUAGAAUAGAAUAGAAUAGAAUAGAAUAGAAUAGAAUAGAAUAGAAAAACACUUUAUUCAUCCCCUAGGGGAAGACAUCAGCAUAACACAUCAACAUAAUCAACAAAAUCAACAAAAUAAACGGUGCAAAAGGAAAGAGAAGACUGGAAAUAGACUCAUGUGUAAAUACAUUCAAGGGCGAGGGGCGGGGCUUGUAGCUUGCAUGUGACUUCACGCUAGUCUCUAAUUGGUCACUUAAAGAGUCGGCCCUGGCCAAUCAGCAUCUCUUUCUUCGUCCAAUCUGAUUGAUUAGUGAUACCUGUCAAUCAAAGUCAUACCGUGCUUCGCCUUGAUGCGCAUGCGCAACCGCAACUGACCGCUUCCGUCAGUUGCGGACAUUUGACGAGUGAUUCUCUGGAUGUAAAAAAAAAAAAAAAAAAGGCGGAUUAAGGAGUUUGGACCGAACCAACAAAACUUAAACAUCAGGCAAGUGACCGUGAACGGAGUUCACCCGCUUCUCCCGCUGCUGUUACCCGAACACAGCUGGCUAGGCUAGCUAGGCUAGCUAGCUGGAUGUAAGCACUGACUACAUUACCGUUUCCAUGGAGACUGAAUGAUGAUGAAGACAUCAUUGUUAAUCAGAGAAGAUUAUUGAUGAAGAGGAGCAUCACAUCUACUGGGAGUAAAACAGAAGAAGAAAGGGGAGAAGGAGGUGAAGAUUGAGGAAGAGGAGGAGGAAGACGAAGGAGACGAGGAAGAUGAAGAAGACAGAGAGAAAGAAAGGUGGGAGAAGAAGGAGGAUUUCUCUCUAUCUUUACUAUAUCUUGAAACUGUCACUGUAUGGGAACAAUUGCAAAGAAACAAUUCACCUGAAGGAUCAAUAAAAUCUUCUGAUUGUGGAAAAAACAGAAUGCAAACAAAUAUGUGAUUAGAUGGCCAAUGUAUGUGUUUACAAUAGACAGUGGAAGGAGAGACAAAGGGGAAAGUCACAGAGAAAUGAAGAAAGUAAAAAAAAAAAUGGCCUCAAGUCUAAUCCAGAAAGAUGAUUUAUUUUAUUAGACCUCAGUGAUUCUAAAUCCUCACUUCAGAUUUUCCUGUGAAGGACACUGAAGUUGAAAUGUUUUGACAAGAUCUGAACAUCAUGAAUUUAUGAUGGUGCCACUCUCAGGACAAACUUUGUCAAAUUUUUUGAAAUUCUCCAACUCAAGUGGUUGACAUGUGUAAAGUAAAAUAUUGUUUCACCGAC